GACUGUAAAAAGAAUGAACAGGACAAGCUCCCCGGUGUAGUGAAGCUUUUAUUUGUAGAGCUCCCCCUGCUGACUGGCUGCAGUAUAGGUCAUAAACCCCGCCUCCUCAGUGAUAACAGAUGGGAUGUGGGUCAAACUGUAAAGUUAAAAUACUCGUCACAUAAUUUUUUUCCAAACCUAAACUCUGCUGUGAUCAUUAGUUAUUAUCACCCUACAUUGUGUUCAAGUGCUCAUUUUUCUGUGAAGUUUGUUUUAAAUAAGUUAUUUGAGGUUGAAAAACGGGAUUUUACGUCAUAUUUGACGAUGAUUGACAGCCGCCGAUCUUGCGUAGCUCUCUUUGUGAAUAGCAAAGUUACGUAGUGAAGGAAAGCCGAGACACCAUUGAACUUUUCCACUCUGUGUUUGUCUCUCUUGGACUGACAGAGUGAGUUGUUCUGCUGUAAACACAUCUAACCAAGCUGUGGGAUGUAAGGAUAUCUGUGUUAACUUGUACAUCCUCUGAUAAAUAAAGUGAAGUACUUUGAUUGCAUUUCUGUGGUGUUCCUGUAGGUGACCAUGAUGCAGCCAGACUGAAGCAGCAGGUUGUGAAGGUGGACGCCAUCAUCUUGUCUUUGCAGCGCUGAUUCUGAAGAGAACGCCUUCACAUAGGACUCAAAGGAAAUCAAUGCUCAAAGGAAACAGCAGUCCAUAGUCUGAUUCCAGCUCCGGUGAGGUUCUGCACACAAAUUGGCUGUCUGAUUCGUUUAAUGGAUAAUUACCACACAACACCAAAUCAGUACAUUGAAUUGACUUUUUUUUUAGCCAAAUACUGAAGCUACUUCUGCAUAUUUGUCAUGAAGCACAAGAAUCCAACUGACUGCAGUUUCUGCUCAAACUGCUGAAAUCAUG
Molecule: long non-coding RNA, 888 nt
Organism: Labrus mixtus (cuckoo wrasse)
Lineage: Eukaryota; Metazoa; Chordata; Actinopteri; Labriformes; Labridae
Exons: 3
Source: RefSeq, a predicted model, not a curated record